GCGUAAGUAGUUUAGUGGUAAAAUCUAACAUUCCCAUUGUUAGGCCCCGGGUUCGAUUCCCGGCUUUCGCA
Pichia membranifaciens NRRL Y-2026 is the source of this 71-nucleotide transfer RNA. It matches the Rfam family "tRNA". From Rfam's summary of the family: Transfer RNA (tRNA) molecules are approximately 80 nucleotides in length. The record is from Rfam. NCBI's taxonomy places the organism in Eukaryota, Fungi, Ascomycota, Pichiomycetes, Pichiales, Pichiaceae.